UAAAAAACAAAAAACAAAAAACAAAACCGUUU
RNAcentral lists this non-coding RNA (32 nucleotides) under Mus musculus (house mouse). The record is from RNAcentral. Lineage: Eukaryota; Metazoa; Chordata; Mammalia; Rodentia; Muridae.